CCUACGGGUGGCUGCAGUGGGGAAUUUUCCGCAAUGGGCGAAAGCCUGACGGAGCAAUACCGCGUGAGGGAGGAAGGCUCUUGGGUUGUAAACCUCUUUUCUCAAGGAAGAAGCAAUGACGGUACUUGAGGAAUCAGCAUCGGCUAACUCCGUGCCAGCAGCCGCGGUAAUACGGAGGAUGCAAGCGUUAUCCGGAAUGAUUGGGCGUAAAGCGUCCGCAGGUGGCAAUGCAAGUCUGCUGUCAAAGGCUGGGGCUUAACUCCAGACAGGCAGUGGAAACUGCAUCAGCUAGAGUGCGGUAGGGGCAGAGGGAAUUCCCGGUGUAGCGGUGAAAUGCGUAGAGAUCGGGAAGAACACCAGUGGCGAAAGCGCUCUGCUGGACCUGCACUGACACUCAGGGACGAAAGCUAGGGGAGCGAAUGGGAUUA
This 428-nucleotide ribosomal RNA is filed under the name uncultured bacterium. Its description in RNAcentral is "bacterial SSU rRNA". It matches the Rfam family "Bacterial small subunit ribosomal RNA", at positions 338 to 780 of the family's 1533-position model. The record is from RNAcentral.